This 165-nucleotide small nuclear RNA is filed under the name Lynx canadensis (Canada lynx). RNAcentral describes it as "U1 spliceosomal RNA (ENSLCNG00005011794.1)". It matches the Rfam family "U1 spliceosomal RNA". From Rfam's summary of the family: U1 is a small nuclear RNA (snRNA) component of the spliceosome (involved in pre-mRNA splicing). Its 5' end forms complementary base pairs with the 5' splice junction, thus defining the 5' donor site of an intron. The record is from Rfam by way of RNAcentral. RNAcentral also lists the same sequence under 1 other name. Lineage: Eukaryota; Metazoa; Chordata; Mammalia; Carnivora; Felidae.
AUACUUAACCUGGCAGGGGAGAUACCAUGAUCAGGAAGGUGGUUUUCCCAGGGCGAGGCUUAUCCAUUGCACUCGGGAUGUGCUGACCUCUGCGAUUUCCCCAAAUGUGGGAAACUCGACUGCAUAAUUUGUGGUAGUGGGGGACUGCGUUCACGCUUUCCCCUG